AUAGGUCUAGGAUGCUGGAAUGCUUCUAGGCCGAAAGUUCCGGCGCCUGAGGAUGGCUCUGCGGCUUAUCAGGUUGUAGUGAGAGUAAUGUCCUCACUAGCCUAUGACGGGUACGGGCCCUGAGAGGGGGUGCCCGGAGAUGGACUCUGAGACACGAGUCCAGGCCCUACGGGGCGCAGCAGGCGCGAAAACUCCGCAAUGCUCGAAAGAGUGACGGGGGGAUUCCAAGUGCCUACGUUUUACGUAGGCUGUUCAGAUGCCUAAAAAGCAUCUGGAGUAAGGGCUGGGUAAGACGGGUGCCAUCUGCAGCAGUAAUGGAAAGAUUAUUACUGCAAGGCAUAAGCCGCCGCGGUAAUACCCGCAGCCCGAGUGGUGGUCGAUUUUAUUGGGCCUAAAGCGUCCGUAUCCGGUCUGGUAAAUGCCUGGGUAAAUCGUCUGGCUUAACCAGACGAAUUCCGGGUAGACUACCAGACUUGGGACCAGUUGAGGAAGAGGGUACUUUAGGGGUAGGAGUGAAAUCCUGUAAUCCUUGAAGGACCACCAGUGGCGAAGGCGCUCUUCCAGGACGGAUCCGACGGUGAGGGACGAAAGCCAGGGGAGCAA
Molecule: ribosomal RNA, 603 nt
Filed under: uncultured archaeon
Lineage: Archaea
Description: bacterial SSU rRNA
Rfam family: Archaeal small subunit ribosomal RNA
Source: RNAcentral